This 79-nucleotide transfer RNA is filed under the name Streptomyces sp. NL15-2K. RNAcentral describes it as "tRNA-Arg". The record is from RNAcentral. Lineage: Bacteria; Bacillati; Actinomycetota; Actinomycetes; Kitasatosporales; Streptomycetaceae.
GUCAGAGUGGAUCAACGUGGGAUACAGCAGGCGCCUUCUAAGCGCUUGGCCGCAGGUUCGAGUCCUGCCGGGGCCGCCA